GCAUAUCAAUAAGCGGAGGAAAAGAAACCAACAGGGAUUGCCUCAGUAGCGGCGAGUGAAGCGGCAAAAGCUCAAAUUUGAAAUCUGGCGUCUUUGGCGUCCGAGUUGUAAUUUGAAGAAGGUAUCUUUGGGCCCGGCUCUUGUCUAUGUUCCUUGGAACAGGACGUCACAGAGGGUGAGAAUCCCGUGCGAUGAGAUGACCCGGGUCUGUGUAAAGUUCCUUCGACGAGUCGAGUUGUUUGGGAAUGCAGCUCUAAGUGGGUGGUAAAUUCCAUCUAAAGCUAAAUAUUGGCGAGAGACCGAUAGCGAACAAGUACAGUGAUGGAAAGAUGAAAAGAACUUUGAAAAGAGAGUGAAAAAGUACGUGAAAUUGUUGAAAGGGAAGGGCUUGAGAUCAGACUUGGUAUUUUGCAUGUUGCUCUCUCGGGGGCGGCCGCUGCGGUUUACCGGGCCAGCAUCGGUUUGGAGCGGCAGGAUAAUGGCGGAGGAAUGUGGCACGGCUUCUGCUGUGUGUUAUAGCCUCUGACGAUACUGCCAGCCUAGACCGAGGACUGCGGUUUUUACCUAGGAUGUUGGCAUAAUGAUCUUAAGUCGCCCGUCUUGAAACACGGACCA
Molecule: ribosomal RNA, 615 nt
Filed under: Candida albicans
Lineage: Eukaryota; Fungi; Ascomycota; Pichiomycetes; Serinales; Debaryomycetaceae
Description: LSU rRNA
Rfam family: Eukaryotic large subunit ribosomal RNA
Source: RNAcentral